RNAcentral lists this ribosomal RNA (67 nucleotides) under Haemophilus influenzae. RNAcentral's name for it is "partial 16S ribosomal RNA". It matches the Rfam family "Bacterial small subunit ribosomal RNA", at positions 1471 to 1533 of the family's 1533-position model. Lineage: Bacteria; Pseudomonadati; Pseudomonadota; Gammaproteobacteria; Pasteurellales; Pasteurellaceae. The record is from RNAcentral.
AUGACUGGGGUGAAGUCGUAACAAGGUAACCGUAGGGGAACCUGCGGUUGGAUCACCUCCUUACUGA